This 497-nucleotide ribosomal RNA is filed under the name uncultured bacterium. Its description in RNAcentral is "partial 16S ribosomal RNA". It matches the Rfam family "Bacterial small subunit ribosomal RNA", at positions 28 to 507 of the family's 1533-position model. The record is from RNAcentral.
GAUGAACGCUGGCGGCGUGCCUAAUACAUGCAAGUCGAGCGAACAGACGAGGAGCUUGCUCCUCUGACGUUAGCGGCGGACGGGUGAGUAACACGUGUAUAACCUACCUAUAAUACUGGGAUAACUUCGGGAAACCGGAGCUAAUACCGGAUAAUAUAUUGAACCGCAUGGUUCAAUAGUGAAAGACGGUUUUGCUGUCACUUAUAGAUGGAUCCGCGCCGCAUUAGCUAGUUGGUAAGGUAACGGCUUACCAAGGCGACGAUGCGUAGCCGACCUGAGAGGGUGAUAGGCCACACUGGAACUGAGACACGGUCCAGACUCCUACGGGAGGCAGCAGUAGGGAAUCUUCCGCAAUGGGCGAAAGCCUGACGGAGCAACGCCGCGUGAGUGAUGAAGGUCUUCGGAUCGUAAAACUCUGUUAUUAGGGAAGAACAAAUGUGUAAGUAACUAUGCACGUCUUGACGGUAACUAAUCAGAAAGCAACGGCUAACUACGUG